Peromyscus eremicus (cactus mouse) is the source of this 869-nucleotide long non-coding RNA. RefSeq lists it as uncharacterized. The transcript is spliced from 5 exons. The record is from RefSeq and is a predicted model, not a curated record. NCBI's taxonomy places the organism in Eukaryota, Metazoa, Chordata, Mammalia, Rodentia, Cricetidae.
AUUGUCAGUUUCUGGAUAGCAAUCUAUGCAACCAAAUUGCUGAGACUCAGUGCUGGGGAGGAGCAUCCUAGCACGUGUCCUCCUUCUAAAAUGUCAGUGGCAGGCUCAACCCAAGGAAGUUCCUGAUUCUUCAACUCCCCAGUUGUCACAGAACUUCACAUGUUCUCUGAUGUCACCUGGCACUGGCUUAGGGAACCUGGUGCAAGGUCUCAAGGAAAUCACUGUACAUAUCCCCUGAGAAAGGUGCAGAUUUGCGUUGGAGACUCUGAUUCUCUGAGACCCCGGAGAGAUGUCUUACCAAGGACAGCAAUGCAAGCAGCCCUGCCAGCUGUCUCCUGUGCUUAUAAAUAAGUGUCCAGAUCCCUGCCCUCUACUGAGGUGAGGUGUCCAGAGCCCUGUCCUCUACCAGGGUGCCCAGAGUCUUAUCCUGAACUACAAAGUCUUGGUUCCUGCUCACCACAGCGGCAUCAGGGGCUCCGCCUUUCACCUGAGCUGUGUCCUUCCCUGAGGUGCCCGGAUCCAUGUCAGCCUGCUCCCUGCCUACUUGUGCAAUGUGCUCUUCCACCAUGCCAGCAGAAGUGCCCACUCAAGAGCAAGUAACAUCGGGACCCCAAGACAACGAUUUCCUGUGGCUCCGCUUACUCUCUGGAUUCUAUUGCCUUUCUUCAACCGUGGUGGCAGACACAUCUUCUCUCACCCCCGACUUGGGUUCUGCCUGAGAGAGGGAGUGCUUCACUCCCGACAUCACAUGUUAAGAAAUGAAAAGCAGAACCAUCACCUUGGCUUUGAUCUCAGCCAGUGUUUUCUUUUCUGUGGCCAAGGGUAUCUAUACUCUUCCUUCUCCAAUAAAGCACAUGGUUCCUGGUUAA